AAUCGCUAGUAAUCGCGGAUCAGCAUGCCGCGGUGAAUACGUUCCCGGGCCUUGUACACACCGCCCGUCACACCAUGAGAGUCGGGAACACCCGAAGUCCGUAGCCUAACCGCAAGGGGGGCGCGGCCGAAGGUGGGUUCGAUAAUUGGGGUGAAGUCGUAACAAGGUAUC
Molecule: ribosomal RNA, 171 nt
Filed under: uncultured bacterium
Lineage: Bacteria
Description: partial 16S ribosomal RNA
Rfam family: Bacterial small subunit ribosomal RNA
Source: RNAcentral